GAUGAACGCUGGCGGCGUGCUUAACACAUGCAAGUCGAACGGAAAUAGAAUGAAAAAGCUGAUGCUUGCAUCAGCAUGGGAUUUCUAUUUUAGUGGUGGACGGGUGAGUAACGCGUGGAUAACCUGCCUUACACUGGGGGAUAACACUUAGAAAUAGGUGCUAAUACCGCAUAAGCGCACAGGACCGCAUGGUCUGGUGUGAAAAACUCCGGUGGUGUAAGAUGGAUCCGCGUCUGAUUAGCUAGUUGGUGAGGUAACGGCUCACCAAGGCGACGAUCAGUAGCCGGCCUGAGAGGGUGAACGGCCACAUUGGGACUGAGACACGGCCCAAACUCCUACGGGAGGCAGCAGUGGGGAAUAUUGCACAAUGGGCGAAAGCCUGAUGCAGCGACGCCGCGUGAGUGAAGAAGUAUUUCGGUAUGUAAAGCUCUAUCAGCAAGGAAGAAAAUGACGGUACUUGACUAAGAAGCCCCGGCUAACUACGUGCCAGCAGCCGCGGUAA
Molecule: ribosomal RNA, 502 nt
Filed under: uncultured bacterium
Lineage: Bacteria
Description: partial 16S ribosomal RNA
Rfam family: Bacterial small subunit ribosomal RNA
Source: RNAcentral